This 448-nucleotide ribosomal RNA is filed under the name uncultured bacterium. RNAcentral describes it as "bacterial SSU rRNA". It matches the Rfam family "Bacterial small subunit ribosomal RNA", at positions 330 to 794 of the family's 1533-position model. The record is from RNAcentral.
UCCAGACUCCUACGGGAGGCAGCAGUGGGGGAUAUUGCACAAUGGGGGGAACCCUGAUGCAGCGACGCCGCGUGGGUGAAGGAGCGUUUCGGCGCGUAAAGCCCUAUCGGCAGGGAAGAAGGAGGACGGUACCUGACUAAGAAGCCCCGGCUAACUACGUGCCAGCAGCCGCGGUAAUACGUAGGGGGCAAGCGUUAUCCGGAUUUACUGGGUGUAAAGGGGGCGCAGACGGCAGCGCAAGCCAGGAGUGAAAGCCCGGGGCCCAACCCCGGGGCUGCUCUUGGAACUGCGCGGCUGGAGUGCAGGAGGGGCAGGCGGAAUUCCUGGUGUAGCGGUGAAAUGCGUAGAUAUCAGGAGGAACACCGGUGGCGAAGGCGGCCUGCUGGACUGCGACUGACGUUGAGGCCCGAAAGCGUGGGGAGCAAACAGGAUUAGAUACCCUAGUAGC